UACGAGGGGUGCAAGCGUUGCUCGGAAUUAUUGGGCGUAAAGGGUAGGUAGGUGGUCUCAUUUGUCCGGGGUGAAAGCCUUGGGCUUAACUCAAGAAGUGCCCCGGAAACGGUGAGACUGGAGUCCUGGAGAGGGUCGUGGAAUUCCCGGUGUAGCGGUGAAAUGCGUAGAGAUCGGGAGGAACACCAGAGGCGAAGGCGGCGACCUGGACAGGCACUGACACUCAACUACGAAAGCGUGGGGAGCAAACAGG
This 253-nucleotide ribosomal RNA is filed under the name uncultured bacterium. RNAcentral's name for it is "partial 16S ribosomal RNA". It matches the Rfam family "Bacterial small subunit ribosomal RNA", at positions 524 to 776 of the family's 1533-position model. The record is from RNAcentral.